This 38039-nucleotide long non-coding RNA is filed under the name Sorghum bicolor (sorghum). RNAcentral describes it as "long non-coding RNA (SBIC_LNC016724)". The record is from RNAcentral. Lineage: Eukaryota; Viridiplantae; Streptophyta; Magnoliopsida; Poales; Poaceae.
CGGGCGGAGGAGGAGGCGAGGGAGGGGCUCUGGACGCGCAGCAGCCGGCGGCCGCGGCGGGGGUGCCGGGAGGAGGGGGACGCCUGGCGCGGGGUGGCGGCGGCCCGGCCAUGCGCCGCCCUGGCCGGGGACCUCGUCAUCGCCACCGGCGACGAGCGGCGGGGUCGUGCCAUGUCGUCGUCGGCCCGCGGCGCGGCUCACCACCGAGACGGCGCCGAGGGCAGUGGCAUUGCCGCGAAUAGCGCGCGGAUGGACGGACGGGUGGGUUGAUCGCCGCGCGGGUGGGGGUAGGCGCUGGCGCGCGAGAUCUGCUACCAGUGGUGGUGGCCCGGCGAGGCGACUGGUACUCUAUAGUUGUAUAGGCCUGUGAUGAGGUGAGGAGGCUGGACGCUGGAGAACAUGGGGCACGCACGGGAAAGAGAGAGUGGGGAGGGACUGGAAAUAUUUUUCCGCCCUUUUUCUUGUUCUUUUUGCUAUGGUUUUUAGAUCGUAUGGAUUAUUGGGUUGUGGAUGUGGAAUGGUUUUGAGCUGGGUCUGACUCUGUGGGAGCAGUGCUUAUAUACACAAGACAAGAGAAGUAGCAGUAGAAUUUAAUGGUUAGGAAUUAGGAUUUUUAUUGCAAGCUGUAGCAUGAUCAUGGUACAUGAAGCGUACACGUACACCAAUUCAAAAAUUUGACCAUAAUGAUCUUGAGUUAGAAAAAUGACGGUACAAAAGGUUAAACUAUCGUGUUUGUAGUUGUACUACAAUAUUCUUGUGCAAGUAUGGAUUUGUUUCUCACAUUAGUUUUCGAUGAUUUUUCUUUCUCAGAGUAAAACAAUAGAUAUUUUUUCUCUUUUCUUUUCAGGCGUAUUUUUUCUGUCAGCCAGCAGAGUUUUUCUCAUAAUAAAUCAACUAAUAGUAUAUUCAGUGAGCCGGCGAACACCUAAAGUCCUAAACCACGCGGGUGCAUGCGUACCUUCCUAUAACUUUUUUUCGCACACAUAAAUUAGUAGUAUUAAAGUACUAAACUAGGGCCAAGUCAAUUGCUAAAGCACCUCAUCGUGUGUUUCCACAUUUAGCAGCGCUUGUGACAGUGAGAUAAAAUACUGUAGAUCGUUGCGAUUCCAGACUGUGCGGUGUCUGCACUGCAUUUGCCAGCUCGGCAGACAAUCGGAGCGUUGGGUGCAGGAGGUGCCACGCCCCACUUUGGGUAUACGUCGUGUGCCUUGUCGAAACUCGAACACGAGAGGCCGACUACGACGCCUGAACGGCACGUCGAUCGCGCACACGUGAUCGUUGGGAAAAAGCCUUUCCUUCCUGCAUGGUCCUUAAUUUCGCCUAGCUUGAGAGGCAAUAAUAAGGGUUCAGUCGUUCAGCCCCAGUGAUCUCGUCGAGUUGUGCUUCGUCGAUUGAGGAUGUGGAAUAUCUGUAGCCUCUGUCUCUCUCUCUCUCUGCAUUUGCUACCUUCUGCACGUAUUGACCUAACGUACCAAACAUCGGAGAUACCGAGCGUACGCGUACAAAACUGAUGAUGACACGGCACAUGCAUGGUCCUGUGCCGCCCGGAGCGAGUCGCGGACGUGAAGACGCUACGCUACCAAACCAACCCGAUUCCUCGGUCGGCGUCGGCGUCGGCGUCGGGGCUCCGGACCACACGCGGGCCAAGCAACGUGCCGAAAAGCAGCCGGAGACGGGGGACUUCUUCCAUCGGCUGGAUUUCGACACCUAAAGCCGCAAAUGCAUGCACCGCGCGCUGCCCGUCACGGAGUUCGUGGUGUGCCCCUUCAAUUAGCUAGCGGUAGCGGCUACCGGCCGCCAGCCCGGCUAGGGCCGGGGAAGACGCUGAGAUUGAUGAGAGCUCCUCACAUGAAAGGGAGGGGCCGCGUGGGCUUUUGCAUAGUAAAUACUACUCCGUAUACGUAUACCGACUGGUCCAGUGCCUAGUCGGUGCAGAAUAGUGCGCCGUAGCAUUGUAGGUGUAGGAUGCAUGUACUGGCCGGCCAUCCAGAUCCAGUGGUGCUAAUUUCAGGAUCAGCCGAUCAGGGAAAAGCUGUGUACGUAGGAGCUAAUGGCUAUGCAGAUGUAUAUUGAUUAACGUUCAGAGAAGCGUUGUACUCGCGUCCAUGGGUAUGAGUUGGUACUGCUACAGCAAUGGAACAGCCGGUACAUUUGAAGUACGUACUCUCCAAACUUGACGAGUUUGGCCGAACAAAAAAAAAGUUUGAAUUUUGAAUAUCUCUGCAUAACUAGCGCGCACGUACGUAUACCCUGUCAUACGCCUGCGAAAAUGAUGCGUGUCAGUUUGUGUGUGCGUGCCCCGCCUCCUAAGAGCAAGUAUUAUGGUGGGCUGUAAGCUGGCUAAAUGCUGAUGUGGAUGAGAGAAUGGAGGAGAGAGAGGAGAAGCAGGCUGUAAGCUUACAGUCAGCUUAGACACAAGAACCAAAAAAUUUUGUGAGAGAAAUAAGUGGACCAUAUAUUAAUAUUGAAUAACUAACUAUUAUAUGGGUGGACUGGGAGAAGGCUGUAAGGAACCUUACAGCCAGCAAGUGGACUGUAUUAUUAAACUUGCUCUAAAGUGUACUAGUUCAUCGUGUUCCAACCUCUAAACCCUGAUCUCUCUCUACACAGCAACAGAAAAUGGAGCUCCAAACCAAGCACCACCACUGCCUCCAUGCCGGGGGCGGCGGGCCCUGAGGAGUGAGGACACAGGGCGGGGGAACAUCCGAACGUGGCACUGGCGGCCGCCAUUUCCUCGGCUGGGUGGGGGCGGCCGGCGGCCGGCGUUUUCAUGGCGGUCUCGGGGCCGCCGCUUGGCCGCUUGUGCGUGCCUUAUUCUCAUCUCUGUACGCCUCUGGUUGGAGGAUUAUCGACACGAGCAGAGCAGAGGCAUGCAGCGACCCACAACUACAGGGUCAAGCAUCACAACUUCUGUCCGUCUGCAGGAUACAGUCAUACAUAUACACUGACGAUGUGGUGGUCAUGAGCUGGCAGCAGUUUUGUCAAUGUCCACAAAGGCCUUGUUUAGUUCCGAGAAGUAAAAAGUUUUCGGUACUGUAGUACUUUCGUUUGUUUGUGACAAAUAUUAUCCAAUCAUGGACUAACUAGGAUCUAAAAAUUCAUCUCGUGAUUUACAGCUAAACUGUAUAAUUAGUUUUUGUUUUCGUCUAUAUUUAAUGUUUCAUGCAUGUGUCACAAGAUUCGAUGUGACGGAGAAUCUUGAAAUUUUUUUGGUUUUCCGUGUGAACUAAACAAGGCCAAAGGAGUAGUGUCACAUGUUACUGUGCGAAAUGGUUCGAGUGUGAUUUCAGGAUAUGCUGCACAGACCAUGUCUGUUUGGUAGCUACCGAGAUGGUUUCAAAAAACUGUAAAAAGGCGCAUACUCCUCUGGGUUGCGUUGCGUUGUUCGCGCUGGAAUGGAACGUGAGUGCACGAAGGGUCGUCAGGAAAAGAAAAGAAGCUACUCCUGGAAAGGCCUUGUUUAGUUCCGAAAAGUAAAAAGUUUUUGGUACUAUAGUACUUUCGUUUGUCUGUGACAAAUAUUAUCCAAUCAUGAACUAACUAGGAUCAAAAGAUUCGUCUCGUGAUUUACAGCUAAACUGUGUAAUUAGUUUUUAUUUUCGUUUAUAUUUAAUGUUUCAUGCAUAUGACAUAAAAUUCGAUGUGACGAAAAAUCUUGAAAACUUUUUGGUUUUCAGGGUGAACUAAACAAGGCCAAAGCUUAUAAAGGGAAAACCCAACCCAUGCGAUGCAAUCAUAGGUGCCCACCACCCUCCAUGGCACGAUCCAAGCGUAGUAGUAGUAGUGCUAGAAUAUGAAUAGGAACACUCUCGGCAGCGUAUCGUGGAUUCGUGGUGCUCGCAAUUUGCAUCACGAGCUAGCUUGUGGUUCGGUCAAGGGGAGCAUCACGCGGCCAUGUGUCAUGUGCGGCACCCAGCCCCACAGGAUUAUAUAUAUCCGCCAUCAUUCGCUCUUGAAUAAAAAACUGCAACUGCAAGAUGGUCCUCUCGCUAUACUGAUGGUUAUCUCCUACAACUAAAAAGACUAAAGCGGGGACAUUAUUUUGGUGCGACAUUCUCUCCUCCCGCUUUCGUCCUGCCUCCUGCGAACGUCGUCCCGCACGCCCCUCGCCCGCCUCCUCCUCCACGCAGUCCUCCACGCAGAUCGCCUGCGGAUCCGGUCCCGCGUACCUCGCCCUCGCCCGCCUCCUCCCUCGCCCGCCCGGCGCGCCUUCGCCGGCGCCCGCCUCCUCCUCCACGCGGAUCCGCGCGGCGCGGACCUCGCCCGCCUCCUCCCUCGGCCCGCUUCCACACCUGCGACGCGCUUCCCUCAUCGCAACCUUCCUGCGACCAAUCUUCUCCUCCAAUCACGCAAUCUCAUCUUCCAAUCCAAUCUUGGGGUCGUCGCUCGUGGAACCUCCCAGAAGGAAAAAACGCCACACAGCGUCACGUUGAUUGCGGCGCCUGCUCCCUUCCUCGUGCGAUCUGUGGCCCUGCUCCCUUGAGCGGAGCGCACUGCAGAGCCGGUCACCGGCGAGGUGGUGCUAUGCAUCCACCCCACCCAGGAGGCGGAGCACUGCCGCUAGGAUGUCAUCGGCUACCUCAGGCGACUCCUCGGCUCCUCCCUCGGCUGCGAGGUGCGUCCGUACCCGCUGCUGUGAUCUGUCUCCCCCUAAUCCCCAUGGAAGCACCCCAGGAAGCCCCACCAGGCCCCAAUCUAGACUUCCGUUGCCUUGAUCCCCAUCCACCUCUGUGGUUUCAUCACCAGCGACACUACUCCACCUCCUCCAUCGAGGCAAGAUGGAUGCGACUGGUGGCAACACACAAUGGCACUGGAGGACCUGGUGCUCAAGGCUAGAUCCACGAAGGAGGUUGCCUUGUCGACCACAGCUAAGGCAAAGGCUGGAUCAGAUGAUGGUGUGUUGAGGACGACAAGAGAUGCCUCACUUAGAGGAGGACAUGGCAGCCAACGGCGCCGCAGGCGAGGAGUUCAACAAGGGCAAGCUUCCUCCAUGGUAAGAACACUAAUUCCAAAUGUAAUAUUGUUUCUAUUGUGAAUUUUUGAAUGAAGAGGUGCAGAAUCAUCUCUGAAUUACCUGAAGAAGUGAAGAGCAUAAACAGUGCCUUGAAACCUAUUAACAAAUUGGAAGUUGAUCUACAAGAAAUUCUAUUUAUCCACUUUAUCAGACCAUCCUCCGGUACACAGUGAAGGGGUGGAAUUAUACCUGCCUGUUUUAUUUUCCAUAAAUUAGUGUAUCUGACAUGGAUGGAUGAAUAUGUUGUUAAUUGAUUUCUCUCCUACUGUGUAAUUGUGCUCAGGCUUACUAAUCUACACAGUGUCACGAGAUAAUCAGAAGGUUGGGUCAGAAUCGCGAAGCUGCAGGCAAAAGCCAGCUGCGAAAGAAGGUGAUGGUGUGAGCAUCAGCGGUGACUUUUCCAAGUUCCUGGCAGUAAAUUUUUUUCAUUGCACAAAAAUAAUGGUGCAAGGCUGGGAAAACUUUACAAAAAUUGCACAAAAAUAAUAGUUCUCAGAUGUAUUAGCAUGUAUUAGUCUGUACAAAAAUAAUAGUUCUCAGAUGGUGCGAAGCUGCAGGCCAUUCAAUAGCUUGAGAGCUGUAAGCUCAAGCUUUCUCAGAUGGAAAAGGACAUGCAGCAACUCGCUCACAAUCUUUUUGUCAUCGGUCAUUGAACUUGUACCUUGUGAUUGAAAUUAUGUGAAAUGUUCUAGGAAGACUCUUUUCACUGAAAUUAUCUAAUUUGGUAUGUGUUUUCACUAGAAUGCAUGUGACUGAACUUAGCUUAUUUCCCUAGCUGUAAACUGAACAUCUUAUGUUUCUCCCUACUUUGUGCAUGAUGCUACCAUGGAGACUUCAUGAAGACUACUGUCAUGGCGAUUGAAUGAUCAUGGGCCUUCUUCUCAGUUACGGAUGAUGGUGAGUCUUAUUUUCAGUUACUAGAUGUUGCUGCAAGUAUGCGUUGGAUUUUGCAAAUACUUUGUAUAUUAGAAGGUCUAGCAUCUGCGGCAUGCCAUACUUUUAUCAGCAUGAAGAGUUCAGAUGCUAUACAGAUUAAUCCAGAUGGUGCCAGCACAAAAGUGGGUCAAGAACAUCAUAUAGACUUGUGCAAACCGUCUGCUUGAUGCAUUGGACAAGUUGGAUAUACCUUGGACCAAUUUCGCCGAUCUGAAUGUACAAUGACCAACGACAACAUCGUCUAUAAAAUUUUUCAUUUUACUGCUAUAGUCAUGAAUUAGAUGUUUUUUAGUUGUCUGUUAAAGCUGCCAUAGCUGUGUAGCACAAAAAUGGGAAUUAGAUGGUAAUUGCUAAACAGUUACAAGCAUGUGAUUUUUGGUUGCCACAUUGCAGGUUGUCAGCGGCUAUCAUGGAGGCUGUUGCGAGGGUCUAUGUAUGAUGUAUGGCCUCUCUCUUACAUUGACAUAUUAAGAAUUAAAAUAGGGGGCAUGAUCCUAUAGAUGGACUACGUGAUAGAUGCAAAGCCAUUGCUCAAGAAAAUGAAGAUGAAUGAAAUAGGCCUCAAAAGCGCUUGAUUCUAUAUGGCUUAUGCACUAUCUUAUGAGAAGCACAAGAGGUCCAAUGAUACAAAGAAGAUGUAUCGUUUGGGGAUCCAGAAGUAAGCUAAGCUCUUAAUACCCCCACUCUCAACCCAACCUACCCACUUCUUUUGUCUUUUUUUAACCGAAAACCACACAUCUGCUACUAGAACUAUUAUUUCUGUGCAGGCUAAUACAUGCUAAUAACAAAAAAAUCUUUGCAGGCAACAUACCCUGUUGUCGAGAAAUAGUAACCAUUCAACUUACUUUUCCUUUUUUGUAUUGCUAUUUUUUUGUUGCUUUAUUCUUGUAAGUCAUUCUUUUUCUUUUCUAUUGUGAUGGUUAUAGAGUGCAGUGGAUUGAUGCUGAAAUUUUUUGCUGCUAUGAAUCACAGGAACCGUGUUGGGUUUGUAUGAGGACAGCAGAUACAAGUUUGAAUCAGAAAAGGUGCAUCUGAAAAAGGUUUAUGUUAUUGGACUAGGUUCUGGUGCCAAGGUGGAUCUAAAACUUAAGUAUGCUAAUGAUCUUUCGCGAGUGUGUUAUUCAGAAGAGAGCUUGUUAACUAGAAGUAGACAUGAAGGUAGAACAAUUUAUUUUUUAUGCUUGAUUUGCCUAUGGACACUUUGUUAGUUUGAGUUGGAUGCUAUGUAUGUGGAAUUUGGUCAAGCAGCUUUGUACAUUGACAUUGCCUUAUGUUUUGGCUUCACUGGGGCUUGGUGGUGAAAUCAUAUGGUAUAUUUCUAUUGACCCCUGUAUGUAUUGAAGAUUAUAGCCUCUGAUUUUAAAGAUAUAUUUCUUUGGAAUAAAAUUCCUGUUCUCUAGCAAUUAUUGAUUUCACCCAAGUUCCUUACAGGUGUUGGCAUCUGAAACUGGUGGUAUAACACAAGGGAUUGGAACAUAUCAGGUGGGUGCUGACAAUAUCAACUAGAUUUUUUUUCUUUCUACUAGGUUGGUGUUGGCCAUUGAUGCUCUUGUGCACUAUUCUGUAUCCAGUCUGGCAAGCUGUUGCCACAGUUGUUCUUCACCAUGGAGACAGUCCACAUUGGAAGCAAACCAUGAUAAAGGUUCACUUUACCACUUUUUUCGUAUUCUGUAGAGGUCGAUGUUGUGACGUAUUAAGAAUUGUUAAGGCUAUCCAUGUAGAACGAGCUACACUUUGAUCAACUUUAUAGCAAGUGAUGAAUUUGAGUAGUUACUAUCGGCAGUUGGAAAAUAACAAAGAACACAGGAAUAUAUUCAUAUUUUAAGUUUUUCUUUUGCAUAAAUUGUUUGGGGAGCCUGUGACGUCUCGUUCUCUGUGACGGUUAAUUUCAUAAGCUUUGCUUUUCAGAUUAAAUGUCACUUUAAUGUCGGUAUUUAAUUUUACGUUAUUAUUAUCUUAUUGUGCGAUCCAUGUGUUUUUAUUAUAAAGUUUAAUUACCCCGUAGCAACGCACGGGCACGCUACCUAGUUAGAAAAAAAUACGGCUGAUAAGACAAAGCGUACGGGCUGUUUUCUUUAGGCCUUGCAUCAAUAGGAUUAGAGAGCAGCUAGCUCUGUUGAUGAUCAACGGGUUUACAGAUGAUGGCCGGUUAGGUACUCCCUUAGGUUGAAGGUGUUAGGGCAGUUCCAAUGACCGGUUAGAUACUCACUUACUAGUAUAUAGUUUAAGCAUAUGGAUAGUGGUUAUGCGCGCGCGCCAUUGGUAGGAAGGAAAAAAAGAAGAGGUUUUGAUGUUUCUCAUGCAUGCGCGCGUGUUGUUUUUUUUUUUUACCUUGAUUUGCUUGAUAGAUGAUGGUACUAGUACUACUGCUACUGGCCUAGUAGGACUGUAGGAGUUGUUAAUUGCAUCGUAGGCAUGAUUAACUUUAAUGCAUAAUUUAUGUCACCUAGUAUUAGUAGGACUAGCUUAGCUAAGACCUUGUUUAGUUCUAAAAAAUUUUACAAAAUAGGAAUAGUAGCACUUUUGUUUUUAUUUAACAAAUAUUGUCUAAUCAUGAACUAACUAGGCUCAAAAAUUUUCUCUCGUCAAUUCCGACCAAACUGUGCAAUUAGUUUUUAUUUUCGUCUAUAUUUAAUACUCCAUGCAUGCGUCUAAAGAUUUGAUGUGACGGGGAAUCUGAAAAAUAUUGUAAAAUUUUUUGGAACUAAACAAGGCCUAAUCUGAAAGGCAGGGCAGCUUAUGCAACUAAUGCAGAAUUUAAGUCAGUAUCAGUGUACUAGGGUAAUAGUGGCACAUCCAUAAACUCAGAGGUUAGUGCGUGAUGUUGGAUCUUUGUUAGGGUGUAGUAGGGUUAGGCCUUGUUUAGUUCGAAAAAAUUUCAGAUUUCGGCACUGUAGCACUUUUGUUUUUAUUUGACAAAUAUUAUCUAAUCAUGGACUAACUAGACUCAAAAGAUUCAUCUCGUGAUUUACAAGCAAACUGUGUUAUUAGUUUUUAUUUUCGUCUAUAUCUAAUACUUCAUGCAUAUGCUCCAAGAUUUGAUGUGACGAAGAAUCUUGAAAAUUUUUUGGUUUUUAGGAUGAACUAAACAAGGCCUUAAGCAUCUCUAUUGCUAUCUCUUCCAUGGAUGAGUUCAUUGUCAUCGUUCACCUGUAUGUUCGUUGCUGCUGCCACUUUUCAUCCGUAAAGUUCCAAUUCCACAUCAAGUAGACUCAGGCCUUGUUUAGAUAUGAAAAGAUUUUGAAUUUUAAAUAUUGUGUAAUUAUGGACUAACUAGGAUCAAAAGAUUCGUCUCGUGAUUUACAGGUAAACUGUAUAAUUUGUUUUUAUUUUCGUCUAUAUUUAAUGAUUCAUAUAUGUGCCGAAAGAUUCGAUGUGACGGGGAAUCUUGAAAACUUUUUGUUUUCGGAGUGAACUAAACAAUGCCCGCACAACAUCGGAAAGGCUGUCAAAUGACGACCUCACUAAAUUACGCACGUUUACCCAUAUCAAAUCAAACGAUCAAUUUCAGACAUAUCUUAUUUGGAAAAAAAAUCUCACCCCUUUCUCUUUUUGGCAACUACCCGCACAUGUACAGUCCGCACUUCUACAUUCAUGCGAGCUUUUUAAGAACGACUGUAGAAAAAGAGAAAUAUUUAUUUCAAAAUACUAUAACUUCUAAACGGCGUAUCUUUUUUUAAUUUCGUCUACACUGAUGUGUUCUACACGACAAGACGAACAAAACUAGACCCCACUUGCACAUGUUUCGAAGAUUUAUUUUUUCUGCUACCAAUUUAUGUAUAUUAACUUACAUCAUAUAACUUAUGCCAUGAAAAUUAUAAAAUAUAACUUAUGCGAAAAACUUAAAAUCUUAAGAGUUAUAGAACACCUUUUAUCUAUAAAAAGUCAUUAAACACAAAGGAACGAAUUAACUAACUUGUGCCAAAGCUGCAAACACAAAAGUCAUUAACAGACACAUGAAUAAACCAAAUUCUAGAAACACAAAAAUUAUGAAACACAACUUAUGUAAAGUUAGAUAUAUAAGUUAUAUUUAAAACUUAUAAGUUAUAUAACUUGAUGAAUGGUUUAGAUGUAAAGUUAAGUGUAUAAGUUAUAUUCAAAACUUAAAUGUACAAAUUAGUAUCACAACAUAUUAGUAGAAAUAUGCUAAGUUAUAUGUUAUAAGUUAUUCUUAUAAGUUAUAGCCUAUAAAUUAUAUGUUAUUCUAUAAUACACAUAAAUUACUAAUAAAAUAAAAUUCUUCGAAACAUAUGUAAGUGGGGUCUAGUUUUGUUCGUCUCGUCGCAUAAAACACAGUGAUGCAAACACAAAUAAAAAUAGAUACACUAUUUAGAAGUUAUAACAUUUUGAAAUAAAUGUUUUGCUUUUUUCAACAUGACAACAGCGAUGACGUCAACGCAGGGGAGGGAGUUAAGCUAUAUCAUUUGUUAUUGGAUGGUUCGCUGGGAAAAGAAAAGGAAGCGAGAACGGUAAAGGAAAGGAAAAGACGCCGUCGGAUCGUUCGCUGGGAAAUAAAACUCUGAACGACCGGGAAACUGGGAUAGGGGUCAAACGACCAGAUGAUGAAAACCGGCAGUGUCGAGAACUCGAGAUUUUCUCGAUUCUAUACCUUCCAAGGUCUUGUUUAGUUCCAAAAAAUUUUGCAAAAUCGAUACUGUAGCAUUUUUGUUUGUAUUUGACAAAAAUUGUCCAAUCAUGGACUAACUAGGCUCAAAAGAUUCGUCUCGUCAAUUUCGACCAAACUGUGCAAUUAGUUUUUAUUUUUAUCUAUAUUUAAUACUCCAUGCAUGCGUCUAAAGAUUCGAUGUGACGGAAAAUCUGAAAAAUUUUACAAAAUUUUUUGGGAACUAAACAAGGCCCAACUUCUUCUUCGUCCAAUCUACUACUUGGAUGAUUGUGCAGACUCACGUUUUUCUUUGAUUGAGUGAAUUUUAAUCUCUGAAUGGAAUCUGUGUACACACAGCACGAUUCUCGAAAUAAAAAAAAUGGGAGGCUGCCUCCUUUGUGCUAGCUUGUCCAUGAAUUUCAUCUUUGCAGAACGACCGCUUCUCUCUCCAUCACGCGCGAUGUUGAAAGAAAAAUUAACCUGUAGUAUUUAUUUAAAUAUGCCUCUGUACGUAAUACUGUAAGAAUUCCUAAGACGCACGUGUGGCAGGGGUGUCGUUCAUUCAACGAGAAUGCUUCGUGGGAAAAGCUGGUUAAAUUUCCGUGGCUGCUUUACUCGCCGAUUGAACGCUUCCAUCAGACGUUGACAUAUAUAUAUAUAUUAAUUGUUUCUGAAAAUGCUUGCUUCGCGAAAACGUCGUCUAUCCAAUUCAACGCAAAAAUAUAAACAUGGACAAACUCGUACCCUUCAAUGGCCAGUGUUCUAACAAGGUUCACACGACGACAGCUGCUUCUCGCCGCUUGCACAUUCUGCCACCGUACCCCUCUUCGUGUGAGGACUGAUGACUACUGCAACAUGAGGGAAGCAGCAGCACCUGAGAAGAAUGAUUAAAACGUUUCAUUUUGACUAAAAGUAAUGCUGCAACCUGAGAAGUGAGAAACCUGAGAAUGUGAGAUGCAUCCAUCGUACGCAACCGACUACAUACCGUACCAUUUUCUGCCUGCAUAUUCAGGCCUGCAUCACAUCAUCUAUCAGUUUGGUAUUGGAAUUCAGGCACAAUUCACUGUGCUGCCGCGGAGUUGCGGACGGGCUCCCGCAGCUCGCACGCAGACGCCCGCUGGUUCGGCAAUCGGCAGCUAGCAGCAGCCUCCCUCUCUGACCCAGCGAGCGUAUAUAUAUAUAUGCAUCCCGGCCACGUACGUGCACGCUCCCUGAGUGGUACACAUCAUCUAGUUUCGCACGAACAGCGUCUUGUUUCUUCAGCCAAGCAGCAGCAAGAAGCCUAAGACGACCACCAUCUCCUCGGAUGGGCAACUGCGUGUGCCACGCAUCCCGGCACGGCGGCGGCGUGCCCGGGACGGACGACGGCGAGCCGGUGUGGGCGGCAGAGCGGGGGGAGAAGACCGGCGAGGAGAGGAAGACGAAGAAGAGCGUCAAGGUGACGGUCAGGAUCAGCAAGAGCCGGCUGCAGAAGCUGAUGGCGAGUGGGGCUGCCGGCGGCGAAGGGAUGACGCUGGGGAAGGUGCUGGCGGAGAUCGUGAGCGCCGGCGAGGUGGUGGUUGACGGCCGCCACCGACGGCGGCGCUGGGAGCCCUCGCUGGAGAGCAUCCCGGAGGACAUGGAGAGUCGUGACGUAUAUAAUAGCCAUAUAUAUAGGGGAUGAAACAACGAAGGUAUACAUAUAUUGUAGUACGUGAUGCACUUUAACCACGUACCGCAUUUAGCACACCAUUAUUUUGCUCUAAAAAAAGCAUGACAUUAUUAUUACUCGAGGCGAAACGGCCUCAGAACUGCAACCGCGCCUACAACUACAAGUUUUAUCUGUCAUAAAGCACAUCUCAAUUUGGUUUGCAGCUUUGGUGACGGCUUAGCUACGGAACAACUUCAACAGAUAUGCUAUCCAUGUUAUCUAGACUAUUUUUAUAUUUUUAAAGCAAAAAUUAAAGUCCAACAUAUAUGCUAUCUGGUUUGCCAAAAUAACAAGUUUCAUUUCCUCAACUUUCGCUUGUCAUUAUAUCAUGUCGUCAUCACUAGCUAUCCUAUACAAAGGCUGUUGUGGAACUCUAUGUUUUAAGUGAAUUUUUUAUUUUACACAAAGACCAAAUUUUGUAGUUUAGAAUAUAAUUUUAUCUACUCUGUUGAAGAUGCUUUGACGCUUUUGUUUAUAUAUACAGCGCCAAGAACCGAUGAUUUAUACGUCCAUCUGUCUUUUCAUGACAAUCGAACUCAAAAACAUAUGCUCAGUGUAUAUAGAACGGAAACACGGGAAAAUAUUAAGUCCAAAACACCCCUUUGUGAAACCGUGAAACCACUCGAAAAAACAUACCUAAUCACGUUUUAAAAAACUUUCCACAAUAAAAAUAUGUAAUUCAAUUGGUAUGAAUGCAUUCAUAAUUAAAUUCAUAUUGCUUUAUUUUCGGAAGUUUUUAAAACGCAUUUAUACAUUAAUUAGAAUGUUUUGAAAAUUUCUAGAUUUUUUGGAUUUUUUUUCAUUUUUCUAGAUCUAAGUCUAAUAUUUGAAAGCUUUUAGAGAUAUUUUUAAUGAGAUCUAAAGAUCUAGAUAUUCUAUUUGGGUUUUCAUGUCUCAUUGUAUUUGUAGAAUCUUUCUUGGAAUUUUUAUAACCUUAAAGAUAUUUUUAUGGUUUAAAAACCUUAAUAGGUAUUUAUUGGAUUUUUUAUAACUAUGAAAAAUAUGAAAAUGUAUUAAAAGUUCUAACCUGGGUACAGAAACAUUUUAAACGAUUUCAAAAACUAUGGAUGUAUGAGAUGUCUAGUUUAGUUUAGAUGAGAGGGGCGGACCUAGCACCAGGUUGGUCGGUGCUCGAGUCCUCGCUAUCGGCCUACCACCACGGGAAGUACGGAGCCCCUCCUACAAGUUUGUGGUAAAUAUAGAAAAUAAAGGGGAUAUGCCCCUUCUAAGCCUGUUCGCUUGGCAGAAAAGCUAUGGAUGAAAGUAUUGUUCGCUGAUUUGUUGUAAGAGAAAAACACUGUUAAAUGAAUGACAGAUUCGUUAGAUAAGCUCAAGCAAACAGAGACAGAAAAUUUAGAUCAUGGGAAGGUAAAUGAGACCUUUUUUAUACAAUGCUGUAUUUUAGGAUAUGAUUGUAACACAAUAGUUCAAUUUUACAAGAAAAACAAUUUCAAACAUGUCUGGUCCAUAGUUGUUAUACUCAUCGUAGAAUAGUCACAGGACCUAGUGAUAACACCGAAGACAAGAAAGCCUGGUCAAUAUACCCUGCCCUUCACAUCAGAGCUAGGUCCAUAGUUGUUGUACUUACUAUAGAACAGAGUCUCAAGACCCAGUAAUAAUGCUGAUGACAAAAAACCUUGGCCACUAUACUCUAUUGUUCACUUUAGAGCUAGGUCCAUAGUUGUUGUACCCACAACAGAACAGAGUCUCAAGACUUAGUAAUGUUUUUCCCUUAAUGGCAUAUGCCCCCAUAUCUAUCACCAUUGGAUGCAAAUGGGGACUUGCGUGUAACUAGAGAGAUAAAUCUAUCUCCUACUACACACUACUGCACAUGUAUUUUCAUGUGUCCUUAAGGGUAAAUUUUCUAUGUUGACAUGAAGUCGAACUAGGGGAAGUAUAUAGGUCAAUGAAGCAUCCGAUGAUGAUGACACGAAAAUAGGCUUUUAGGGUCGUUUAAGUGUGUCUCCACAACCUUUUUGCAUACAAGUUUCUUGCUGGUAAUAUGUUGCAGAACUAGAAUAAAAAUGACAAAUCCAGAACUAGUGGAUGCCAAGUACUGUCCACCAUUAUGAUGUUAUGACACUUUGCAAUCCUAGGUGAGGAAUGAAUGCAUGCGCCACCGAUAGUCAUGCACAAUGUGAAGUGUGUCUUGAUGGGCCUCCAAAGAGACUCUAUACAUGACAAUUCUGAAUGAGCAAGAUUGAAGCGCCAAUGUUCACUCCUUAACAAAUCUAGCAGUGUUCUGGAUGGUCAGGUCAUUGUAAGAAGUCAAAAUAAUGGAGAAGAAGCGACGAAGAUAGGAAUACAAUUUUUCCUUUGUUUGGGGGGAGUCCAGCAGUUCAUCUCUUUAUAACUUGAUCAAAUUUGAAAUUUCCCAGUGAAACUAUAUGAACUUAGGGGGUCAUGCCCCCCUCUGUCAUCCCCGUUCCCCCUCCCCCUCGUGGGCCACAAGGAAGACGAUGACCAAUAAGAGGAGGAGUUUGUAUCGUGCCUGACCUCUAGCUAAAAUGAACUUUCUAUACGAACUCUAACUAUACAAAUAUAUGAGCAAUAUAUUUGAGGUUCCCAACUAAAACAAACUCUAGAUAGGGCAAAAAAAUGGUUAAGAGUAUUCUACCCCAAAAUGACGUCUCCAACUGAAACGAACUUAAGCUAGGGCAAAAAUGGUCGAAAAUAUUCUAACCAAAAUUAUCAACUGACAUGACUUGCUGGUCAUGCAUUUGAGCAUUUCUCCCACUCACUAAUUGAAGCAAAGAAAAGCCAUGCAUUUCUUUCAUUUUAUAGCAUAUCUAUACCUAUCUAUAAAGAGAGAAAAUUUCAGUCUGCCUACCAUAUUCUUCGUUAGCGAGGCAAGGCGCACACGGACUUGACCCGGUUUGCGUCGCCGUCGCCCGCACCACACCGCACGCGGGGGCAGGAGGGAGACGCGGCCGUUGCUUUUGUCGCAUCCUUCCCAGGAUCGGCGGGCGCCGGGCGAGGGCGAAGGAAAGGAUCUGGACGGCGUUGGCUACACGUUGGCCGGCCGGCUUGUCGUGCGGACGGCACGGGCGCUCCGGGGCAGCUGCUUUCCCCCGGCCGUCCACGCGAACCCGUGCUAGCUGGAGAUUUGUCGGCCACCACUCUUAGCCACUGACUCGACGCUCGUCGACUGUCCGUCAACGGCUCGUCAAAGAUUUCCGCCAGAGCUGCGCCACCGGCGAGGACUCGGGCUCCAGCGAGAGCGACGUGGAGGAGCACGUCGAGGUGGAGCUCCGCCUCCUGCUCGACCUCCACGCCGCCACCGCUCCCGUUCGUCACUGUCGCAUCCAUGGACGCGCCGCCCCAGGGCUACCGCACCAACAUCGGCAUCUGCCUCGCCGACCCAUCCCUCACCAAAGCAAGCACGCCCCCUCCCUCCCUUGAGCCCGAUCCUGCUCCUCCCCGGUCUUCGCCGCGCCUGCGCUGGAUAUUGUAUUGUCGGGUUCGUUCUGAUGGUUAAUGAAGUGAUUCUGCUUUCUUUCUCUCUAGAUUUUCUCGGAUUCUAGGCUCGACACUCCUAGCACGUGGCAGAUGCCUCAGUUGAUUUCGGAGAUCCGUUGUACUCCCUCCGUCCCAAAAAAAAGUGACGUUUUUUACUUUUAGAAAUCGUGUUUGACCGUUCAUCUUAUUAACAAAUUUUAUGUAAAUUAUAAAAUAAAUAAAUUAUUAGUAAAGUAUUUCUAAUGAUAAAAUAUGUCUUAACAAAAUAUAUAAUAUUUAUGUAAAAAUUUUAAAUAAGACGGAUGAUCAAAAAAGAUGUCUGAAAUUUUAAAACGACACUCUUUUUAGGACGGAGGGAGUAGUUCUUAACUCGCUAAUUUAAACAUAGCCUAAGUCAUAUGUAUAAUCCCGAAAUAAUGAUAGUUGAGUGAAUGUAUGCAUCUGUGCAGGCUCCUAACUGGUUAACAUAUGAUUUCCCACCGGAUGUGAGAGACAAGCUGAAUGCUAGGUGGGGAACCGAUUGGAAAGGCCAAGCUCAAAAAUGGUAAGCUCACUAAAUUUCUUCAGCUUAGAAUUCUAUGAAAUAACCUCAUUUCAUUUCAUCCCUUUGUCUGACUGGAAUUUCAACCUGCAAAAUAAUCCUAGAUGCCAGACAUGGAUAUAUAGCUACCACAACAUCCUCAUAGUAUUUUUCUAGAGAUAUAGAUAUAGAUUUAAUAACUUUUUUUCUCUCGUUGCAACGCACGGGCAUUUUUGCUAGUAUAACCCUUACUACAGAAACAAUAACCUUGUCUAUGAGAAUUAUGAAAAGCACUAAGCUCCUUUUCUUAACUUGUCCAUCAUCAUCUGCAUUAGUUAUUUUAAUGUAAAUCAAAUUGCCCCAACAAGCUACAAAGAAACUAAAGUUUCUAGAUCGUCAUUUACUCCUAACCUUCCAGAAUCAAUUGGGGUGGUGCUUCCUAAUAUUAACCACAUGGCAACAAGUUUAUGUCCUAUAAAAACCCGUGGUAGUAGAAGGUGUCAAACGCUUUGUAUUUGUGAUUUGAAAAGUUUAAGAUAUAAAUGUAAAGUUACUUCCACUGAAAAUAUUUUGAAUUGAUUUCAUAGGUUUCUUAAAUAUCUUGAUUUUAUCUAAAUGGUUUGAUAUGUCAACCUGACUAGAGCAACAAACGUUUCCAAAAAGUCACAAACUGGUACCAUGAAGCGUUUUUUUCCUCCUAAACGAGUCAGUUGCAGCUAAAGUAAAAAACUAUGAAAUGGCUGGCAGCUAAUUGUUGUGCCCGUCACUAGCUGGUUCCUGCACCGGUGACGGUGACGCUAGGAAAUUGCAAUGCACGCUGCACUCUAGCAGCUUACGAGGACAGCGCAACGCUCGCCGAGUCAGUGGGUGAGCCAGCCAUACGAUUUGUUUUCCCCUGAACUGAAAGCCAUCAUCCUUGUUGCUGUGCAGGGGGGCAAAAAAAAAAAAAAAAAAAACGGCGGCAAAAAUGGAAAGUGGCGUACGGAAGGCAGGCAGAUCGGAUUCGGGAGAAAACGGAAUGUUUUGCCACAACAAUCGCUGGGGCAGAGGAGGAGCUUAUCUUGUGUUCGCUUGUCAGUGAAAUCUGUCAGUCGGCUAACGGGGAUCAGCCCCAUUUCAUUAUGGUCUUGUUUAGUUCCCAAAAAGCAAAAUUUUUCAGAUUAAAUGUAUGCAUAGAGUAUUAAAUAUAGACGAAAAUAAAAACUAAUUACACAUUUUGGUCGCAAUUGACGAGAUAAAUCUUUUGAACCUAGUUAGUCUAUGAUUGGACAAUAUUUAUCAAAUAUAAACGAAAUUGGUAUUAUUCAUAUUUUGCAAAAAUUUUUCUUUUUCUUCGGAAAAACGAAAACUGCGGUGCCACCUCCACUCCUCCACGGCUCCACCGCCCCGUACACCCAGAGGGCGGGCACCUCGUCUCGCUUGUUGGCCGCGUGGUACGGCACGAGCGCUGGGGCCCCAUGCUCGUCGUUUGGUCGUGGAAGAACUCCGCCUUGCAACGCCGCGCCGUUGCUGGGUGGGGACUGGGGACGCGCUGGUCGCCGGGGAUGGCUGCGGCUUCGGCGCUUAACGGUAUCGGGAUCUUCCUUCUUUGCUGUUGCCGACUAGGAGUGCUCAGAUUUGAUACGCUGUAGGGCCAGUGCUGCUGCAAAAUUGCUGUUUGGGGGUGUAUUGAACUGAUUCGAUUAGUAUCGAGCCGUCGUUACCUCUUAGCUGUGAUUUCAUCUUGCUUCGUUACUGUACUUGCUGUGCGAACUUUUACGGAUCCAGUUUAGCUUUUUAGUAUUUCUUUUGAAAUUAGCAACUUAAUCUGCUUGGUGGUUCUUAUUUGUUUGCUUGUUAGUGAGCCAAUAUCUAAUUUUAGGUCUGGGUCAGCAACGACUUGGGAGUCGAUAUUGGAUAAACGGGAAUCAAGCUCUCUAAGACAUCUAAUCUUGCUGAUUCAUAGGGGCUCUACUGAUUCAUAUAUUGACCCAGUGGCGAUGUUUCGGCUUGCUGGACAUUUGGAAUCAUCUAGUGCCACUGAUUUGUGACAAGGUCUUGUUAAUGACCUUCUCAUGCCUAUAUUUUCUUGAGUUGAAUCAGCAACCUUUUUGGUGAAGCUUCUCACUGGCAUUUUUUUUUCACGUCGUUGAUGUUUAACAAAGUUGCCUUAAAAUAGGACAUUCCACAAAUUUCUUGAAUCAAGAUGAUGCUGUUAAUUAUUCUUGAUGGAUAUCAUGAUGAUGUGGUUAUCAUUGAAAAGAACCCGAUCAGGAUUUUAGCAAAACCAUUUCAGCUACAAACUUCAUUGGCAAGAAAGGCGAUCACUAUUCUUUGAACUUUGGAGUAGUCACUGCCGCCGUAGUAUUGUUUACAAGUAAGUUUCCUUGCUUUUCAGUUUUUAGGCAUACAAAAUGUCAUUCCUUCGACUCCUCAGCAAUUGAAGACCAUUUUGAUUUCUCUCACUGAAGACUUCAGUUAACUAUAAUAUUAUGAUGGACUUGCCUCUCCUUGCUACGCAUACAAGGUUCUGAGUAACCCUAAUAUAUUAUUGUUUAGAUUGUAAUAAGCAAGCAAUGUACUUUAAAUAUGUGUAUUUUGCGCUUGACAAGGAGUCAGUAACACUCACACUAACGAGAUUUGCUACCAAAUAAUUAACACUAAUGUUUAGCUUAGCCUGUUGGUGGUAGCAAUUGUGCAACAGUUGUGGUAUUGUUGUGCCAUGAGUAUCCUAUGUUAAUGAGAGGAGUAACAUGUGUUCCAACUCAUGUAACAGGUUCUCCGCGAUUUUGAUUCUGAUCAAGUAAAGAAUGCCUUGUAGAUAUAAAUAGCACUCAGGAUUCCUUAAGCAUUUUUUAAUGUAGGAAGGCUAACAAUUACAGCUACUAUUGCUUCAGAUCCAUUAUUAGGAAUAGAAGUGUCGCGUUACAAGGACUAUUUUCAUCGGAAAGUGUAAAUUUAUUAUUAGCAAAAUGCGAGAUGCAGUAUAAAUUUGAAUGUUAUGGUUUGUUUACUGAUUUUCUUACAUUAUUUUAUCAAAUGCAACCUUUUGAUAUGAAAAUCCUAAAUUCUAUCUAUGAUGAUCUCUGGACAACUGAAAAAAAAUUGUAGCCAUGAACUACCAUGAAGCAUAGGCUCAACUCUAGAACCAGGAUAUAUCUUCUGAUGUUGAAAAAUUGAUUAUGCCUAGCCUAACAAAAUUGCACACGCUAGUUUCAUUCAAGAAAAUGAGCUGCUGUUACAUCCUGCCUAUAUAUGACAUACAUCAGUUUCAAGAAUGUUGAAAAAUUGAUUACACCUAAGUACCUAACCAAACCACAUGGACCUGUUUCAUUCAAGAAGACAAUCUGUUGUUACAUCCUGCCUAUAUGUGACAUUACAACAAAAAAUGUAUUGUGUAGAUACUCCCUCCAUCCGGUUCCUCUCUACACAACUCUGGCUUGAUUUAUCAUCUCUUAAUUCCAGAAGCCAUUUCAGCUAUCUUCUUCAUUUUUUCUCUCAGGGCUAUCUUCUUCACUUUUUCUCUCAUGGCUAUCUUCUUCAUUUUUUCUCUCAUGGCUAUCUUCUUCAUUUUGCUGUAAUUGUUCUUUACCUCCUUCAGUUUCGUUUUGAUUAGUUUCUAUGUCUAUGUUUGGAACUGUUAUGGGCAGAGGAUCUUUGAUGUCAUCUGGAGGAUCAUAGUUUGGAUCAGCAAGAAAUGUAAGGGCGGUCACAACAUCACUGAUCAGUGGCCGACUGCUUGCUUCUUCUUGUAAGCACAUUGAUGAGAUUGCAAGUGCCUGGUAUAGACCUUUCAGAGGAAACUUCCUGUCAAGCAAUGGGUCGGCCAUCUUCACAAACUUCCUCUUAUCCCUGAAGAAUGGUGCUGCCUGCAGAUAACUAAUACUUAGUAGAGCAGCAUGCAAUUCUAACUGUAUGGAUUUCUGAUUUUUUUUAAUUGUUUACAGUCUGAAUAUGUUUCCUAAUAAAGAGGUUUCAACACUGGAUAUUUCUUAGUGAAAAGUGAAGCUAGGUGUAAAGCUCACCCAAUGAACAAGAAUCUGCUCGCGAGUUGGUUUUGUGGUGUCGAUUGCUCGCCUCCCAGUGAUGAGCUCUAACAGAACUACGCCAAAGCUAUAGAUGUCAGAUGUCUUUGUUAGCUUGCCAGUCAUGGCAUACUCAGGAGCACAAUAGCCAUAUGUGCCCAUCACCCUUGUGCUGACAUGGGUUUUGUCACCGCUUGGACCAAGCUUUGCCAGACCAAAGUCUGAUAACUUUGCAUUGAAGCUUCCAUCCAAGAGAAUGUUGGAUGCCUUGAGAUCACGGUAGAUCACUGGCGGGUUGGCUACCUCAUGCAAGUACUCAAUGCCUUUAGCUGCACCAACUGCAAUCUUCAUCCGUGUGUGCCAGGAUAGUGGCUGAGAAUUUGGAGUGAGAUCUAUACAGUUCAGUGAACAAACAGGUACAAAUUACAAUUCAUGAACACACAUUUAUAUGUAUAUAUUUUUUUUAAAAAAAAAUUGAUUGAGAGUUUGUAUUACCGAGGAGAUGAUCUUGCAAUGAACCAAGUGGCAUGUACUCAUACACUAGUAUCCUCUGGUCACAAUCGGUGCUGUAUCCAACCAAGGUAACUAGGUUGGGAUGAUGCAGUAGGCUAAGCAUCAGCACCUCGACGAGGAACUCACGGUUUCCUUGCAACCCAUCUUUGUCAAGCUGCUUAACUGCUAUGACCUAGACAUGGGCAUAUUUAACAUAGACAAGUUAUGGUUAUAUUCACAAGUGUUUCUUCAUGUCUUAGUUUAAUGGAACGUAGAACGGUGAAUUUGGAGAAGAAACACUUAUUUACUUCCAUAGUGUCUGGAAUGCAUCCUUUGUACACCCUUCCAAAGCCGCCUUCACCCAGCAUGUUUUCUGGGCUGAAAGAAUCAGUGGCAUCGACCAGUUCACGGAAUGUAAACACCCUACUAGGAAUGUUAUGGUUGCCGAUCCGUAGUAUCUCCCCUGCCGCUGCCCUGUCCUUGUGACUGUCUGCACAAAAAAGCUGUUGAGAGUCUGAAAAAUGUCCUUUGUCAUGGAGUAUACCCUUGUUGAUGAUCUGUUUUCAUCAUACUAGUCACAAUCUUUUUUCCUGGGAACCACGAAUUUUAGGGUGAAAUUAAGUUCAAUAAUAAGGCAAUGAGCAAACAGACUUUCAUGGCCAUGCUAAUUGGUAUUUAUAUAUUUUUCUGAACAAUUUUCUAACCUUUUUAGCAAUGAUUGAGACAUGCAUGAUGGAACUUUUGUUGUAUGAUAUCCGUAACUUCUCAAACAUUUCCAACCCAAUGCUUAAAUGCUAUUAUCAUGCAUUGAUUUUUCUUCUGCAACUUAUGUGUUUCAAUAAUUGGUGGAAAAUAUAUCAGCUCAACUUUUGUGAAGAAAUGGUUUAAAAGACUAUAGUUAUCAGCUUACUAUCAUCUUAUACCUUUUAUAUAUGUGCAUGCAGAGUGAAAAUUCCCUGGGGAAGAAAAAAUGAAGGCUGGAUUCUUACUUGAGAGCGAAAUUUCCUUGACUAGGGUUGCUAACCCGUUCUGUUCAUUCUUCCUCUUCUUUUUCCUCCAUAUCUUCUUUGUCCACUUGCACUUUUCUUGCUCGGGGAUCAUCGCCGUAUUCUUCCUCUUCUUCUUUGCCUCCAAUGUCAACGGUUCCUCUGCUUCUCGCUCAGCCCCACCACAAAAGCCCCUCUUCUUUUUCAUCUUCGUCUCCGAUGCCUCUUGUGUGGCCUUGCUCGUUCUCCUGCCGCAGACAGAGCGGAUCCACGAGCAGCAGCACGCACAUCUGAGUAGGUUGCAGCUCAGGAUGUUCUUGCAACAACAUCUGUUAGCGGAGCUCAACAGCCCCAUGGAAUUUCCGGAUCGACGCGAGAGUGGGCGAGCACCCUCGUGCCGAUCCCUGCAUGCAAACGAAGAACAGCAAGAGGCCUCAAAGGUAAUAUUCCCUUUCUCUCUUUAAUUUUUCUCGCACUUGGUUUCUUGCCACGCGCUCCUUUCUCUGUGGAUGGUAAAAUUUUGGAAUGAGACAGCUUCUCUUUUUCCUUGGAUGAACGUUCUCUGGCCAAGAAGCCAUUUUUAGUCCACUCGUUUUUGCUCUUAUUAAUCGCUGUUGGUUUUAGUAAUUGUCUUACCACACCCUGAUCUUUCGCAUGAGAAGUAGGAGUCUGUUUUCACCCAUUGGCUGGAGAUGUGCUCAGCUGCUCAGGGUUAUAAUCAUGCAUGGUGCAUAUGGGUGUUAUGCUUCAGUUAGGAAGAAGCGUUGGAUGAAACCAUUGUCAACUAUGGUUGGAUAGAAAAUUCGUUCAGAGUACGUAACAUGUAGAUAUUUAAAUGUUCAAAAAAAAAACCCGUAACAUGUAGAUAUCGCUAUUGUCUGUGACAACAUUUCAUGGUUCAUUACUUCUAGAAAUUCAGUUGCAUGUAAAAUGUCGCAUAUCACUUCUAUUAUCAGACCAGCAUGCAUGCCCAUGCACUCUAGUACUAUUACUCUACUCAAUUUCUAGUUGAGUGCACCUAGUAGUGAUCGGAGGCUUGGGGUUUGAUCCAGCACAUAACUGCACAUAUGUGCUGCCGCGCCUUGAUCGCUCGUGAGCUGUCUGCUACUUGGUGCUGGCAAGAGGAGGAAAGCCGAUGCACCCCUUCCGUGGCUUAUGCUACCUACUAUAGGGAUUCGCUGCUCUGCUGUCACUCUGGGGUCUGGCUGCGGUGCCCUCUUGCCAGCUGCUGCCCUGUCUCUCCAUGGUACCCUCCCUGCUGUUGACACUUGACACUCUCUGCUCACUUCGCCAUUUCUGUGGGGUACUGAUAUGCUGAUAAGGCUCAGUUCUGUUUGUAGGCAGCAAUGCCAGGUUGGGGUGGUCUUAUGGCCUUUUGUUGGGACCCAGUGAAGGUUUGAAGUUUGAGCCACGGUUAGAGGAAACAUGAGGACGAACAAGACGGCUAAUGGAAGUACAAAAUGUGAAGUGCUCGGGGUGUCAAAAGCUGCCACAGUUUGGAGCAUCCAUAAGUAGUUGUUUCGGAAGUUUUCAUAGAGCUAUAUAUACAAAGUCGACUCUGGUAAUGAAGUUGCAUGUUAUGUUGGGCUUGGGCCGCGUCUUUCAGCGCCGCAAGCGGAGCUGUGGCUGAGGAGGCCCAACUGGCGACGCGCAUGGCUGCAUGGUGACCGCGCCCAGAGCGGCUUUUGUUCCUCAAUGUCUAGAAUCUCAGAUUUCCAUUUGUUAGUCAAUUGAGUUUGUUAGUCAGUUAGAGAAUUGUGGAAGAGUCGGCUAUAUAGCCAAAACAUUUGAUUAAUAAAUGAUCAGCUGGAGAUUGAUACCAAUCUCUCCCGCUCUCUUGAGUCCUAGCCACUCGUCCUCUGUGUUCGACACCGCUGAGUAUAAACCCCAGCCACCUAUCAUCUAUAGCUACAACCUCCGGGGCAGUAGCAGCAAUCCCAACAUUACACUUUCUGAUAACAAAACUAAUUAUGAUUCAUGGAUUUUUUUUUUUCUAAGAGGUUUGAGUGGAAAAAAAAACUUCUAAGCACAGGGAUUUUAGCAUGGUGUGUGGAUAUAGUUUCAGUUUAAUUAGUCUUGUAUCCACAUGGGCACUGGAGCCUUCUAGGCUUUUUUUUUACUAUGCAUACGCUAUACUAAAACAAUGUUUUAUCUAAUAAUGUAACUUUUAUUUUUUAGAUAAAUAAUCUUAUCUAGAUCUUGUGAGCGGACAUUAAUAUAUUAUAUUUCUUUCUUGAUAAGUGAUGCCUGAUUAACCUAAGCAAGAGUGAUAUAAGACAGAGUCUAGAUAAUCUUAUCUAGAUCUUGUGAGUGGACAUGAAUAUAUUACAUUAUAUUUCUUUCUUGAUAAGUGAUGCCUGAUACUAUUAGUUGUGCAGGUUUUGAAACUUGUUUUCAUUUCCUAGUUAUUUCUGACUCAGUAUUAGUAGGGGUGCAGAUUCCCUUUGAGACUAGCACAUUAUCAAACUUAUCAAAGAAAUGUUGUCGAAUGGCAUAGCUUUUCCCUUUGGAUCCUGAUAAUCAUUUACUUGGUGAGUCAAUACAAACUUGGUGAAGAAUUGAGGAAUGACCGAUACAAGGUAUAAAAUGGAUAUUAGAAUUCCAUGAUGAAUAAAAAUAUCUGCUUGCUUAAUUGCCCUGGAAGUACUUAUUGAUACUUUUUUCACUCUUCUUAAUAAUUUGUAUAAAUACAUCUCAGUACUCCAGUUUGAAUCGUCUGAUAUGCAGAAUUUAUUUUGAUUUUCUCGGUGCAGGCUAUCAAUUUAACUGGAACAAACAGUAUGAUUCCCAUGGGACUCAUUUGAACUAUUUCUGAACCCUUUUUAUUACACGAACCGUGCCAGUGCUAUCUGGCAACAUCCCCUUAUUUAUGUUUCAUAAAAAAAACAUCCCCUUAUUUAUUCCUCAGAGUUAGUACAUUAUUCAGGUUCAGGAUUUGGACGCGCACAUGCGUCUUGCACGGCGCGCCGACUCACUCUUACCCUAGUAGUACUGGUCGCCGCCGGAGAAGACGCUGCACUCCUGGGGCUCCGACAGCCGGCACAUCAUCGGCAUCCCUGCGGCGUACUGCCUGGCCUUUGUAAGCUUCACGCGGGCGAUUUUUUGCCCGGUGCCGGGACGACACGGUGGGUACAUCUGCUGCUGGCCACUCUCACCGUAGCCGUAUCCCUCUCCUGCCUGGCUGCAGGGGUAGUCGUAGCCCGGCUGCGGCUGCUGCCCCCACCAGCCUUUCUCCAGCGGCGGCAUGGUCUCCUCGUAGCCCCUGACCAUGCUCCGGAUGGCGGCGCAGCGGCACUCGCGGCUCACGUCCUGGAGCUGCUGGCAGCACCGCAUCCGGAGCCCGGUGCCCCACCGGAACGGGCCGAUGCCGUAGCGCAUGCCGCCGGUGAGCUGCCGGUCGAGCACCUGCCGGCACGCGCCGAGCGGGUUCUCCUGGACCUCUUGCCAGCACUGCAGGUCCUUGAGCCUCUGCCGCUCGACCACGCCUUGGCCGACGGCCACGGCCACCAGGGCCGCGAGGCACAGCGCCGCCGUGGCGGCGACGGCAGCGAUCUUAGCCAUCUGAUCAGCACGGAUCACUAACAAAUCUUUGUCGCUAGUUGUUUGAUCUGCUAGCUAAUUGUUGUGUUCUUUGGUGGUGAUCGAUGAGGUGGUAGUGAGGCGGGGUUGGGUUUUUAUAUAUAUAGGAGAAAAGGCAGUUGAGGUGGAAAAACACACACUGUCAGUUGAAAAGGUUGAUGCAUGCAGGAGGGAAAUAUGAUGAUGAUUUGGAGCUUUGUAAAACAGAUUUUUGGAAAGUUUUGUAAAGUCACUGUUUGUGUGGGUAAGGUAACACUUCACGUUAACCCUCACAUGCAUGGAUGCAUCUGUGAUGACAAAGUGUGCUAGUGCGCUUGUUUUCGUGUGGUUCAUGGACGUAUCUACAACUACAUGGCUAUAUCUUGUGUGGAAGUUCUUGUAGUUUUUUUUUUCAGGAAAAUAUAUAAUGCUGCAUAAGGCAUUAUAUAGGCGUGCUACGAACAUCGAGUGAUGAGAUGAUUUAGAUGUCCAGUUCGUCGCAUUCUCUUUGCAGGAGGAUGACCGAGUUAGUGAGAUUUAUGACCAUCUCACUUCAUAGGGAAAAAAAAAUAUAGGAGCAACAGCACCCCAUCAUCAAGCUAUUUCUCUAGAGUUGAAACAAAGGUUGAUAGGUAAUAAUUUUGUGUUGUAAUUGAGUGAGAGAAUAAUGGUAUUGGUUACAGAGUCUCAUUUUUUUCCUUUUUCUUUACUUACAAUGACUGCACAUCUCGGUAUAUCGUAGAGAAUGGAACUUUAUUAAACUUUCUUCUUAGGGGGAAAAGAAAUAGAUCGAUGGUCUUCAGUUCUUGUACGGAUCGAUCUAAGCGUAGCUUUAGGUGGAGUGCGUAGCUGAUCUUUUAACAUUUACUAGUAUUUGAGCCCAAGAUGUGUCCACCUCAGCCUAGCUGAUUUGAUUUGGGCCCCUAAAUUAAACAGCAUUUAACCCCAAAAUGUUGUCAUCACCCUCUCAAAUUUAUCGAACUGCUACUACAGGGCUUCCCUUACCCCCACAGUCCCCCUUAUGCUCACUCUCUUUGGCCCAACUUGACAUCAUUUCAAACUAAAUGACACAUUCAAAAUUAUAAAUAAAUAAACACCAUAUUGCUUCUGAAAAAAACUACAGUUUGCUAAAAAUGAUUCUUUGGUGAAUGUGCAACCAUUGCAAGUGCUAAAGUUCCUUUACCCCACAGUAACCCUUAUGCUCACUCUCUUAGGCUCAACUCGUCAUCAUUUCAAACUAAAUGACACGUUCAAAAUUAUAAAUAAAUAAAUAAAUAAAUAAAUAAACACCAUAUUGCUUCUUAAAAAAACAGUUUGCUAAAAAUGAUUAUUUGGUUUUGAAACUUGGUCCUUGCGCAAAUUGUAGCUCAAACAGAUGGGUGUAUCAUGCUAUAUAUAUCCCUCAUUCCUCCAAAAGUGUGAUGCUACUCCUCUGUCUCAAAAUAUAAAGCAUGCAUGUAUUUCAAAAAUCAAAUUUUGUUAUCUUUAACCAACUAGUUGUUUAAUCAUACAAAAAGUUGAUAGUACGAAAGCGGUAUCAUUAGGUUUGUGUUUAUAAAUACUUUCUAAUAAUAAUGCUUUUGUUGUCAUAAUUAUAUACUAUAAGAGAAAUUAACCGAUUUUUUCUUGAAUAUGUAAGAACAUUGCAUAUCAUUGUACUAAGAAGAUAGAAGUUUUAAAAUCAAGAGAGAUCGUUCCCAGCCAGUAGUUUCCUAGCUGAUUUAGGCCUUUAAAUUUGUGUCCACCCGAGCCGGGCCUAAUGUUGUCAUCAUCCUCUCAAAUUCAUUGAAUCUCUCCGCCAGCGGGGAUGCCUCCUCCCCGUCGGCUCCUGCCUAGCGCUCAACGAUGCUUGUCAUAAAAAAAAAUCCUUUGUUGGGUGAAACAAUCACACAAAUAUUUGAAUAUAGGUGUAAAAUUGUAUUCAUUUUACGGUUUUACUGUACAUGUCAAAGAGGUAUUUAUAGAGGUCAUAGCCCUCAUAAGUCGUAUACAAAUGACCAUUUUACCCCUCUUUAUAAUCAAUACAACCCCUUUAAAUUACAGGGGUGAAGGUGUCCUUUCAUCUUCCAGAGUUCAUUCUUCAUUAUCUUUUGUCAAUCUUAGAAGUCACUUUCUUCAAAGGUGUCUUCGCGCACCUGAACUUGAAUGUUUUAUCAUGAAUCUUCUAGACUUCAUAAGUCGAGCGAACUCUUCGAUCAUUCUUCACAUUACCUAGGCAAACUUGUUUGGCUUCAAGCAAAGUCCAUGGUCUUUUUACUUGUUCUGAGCGAAGUCAUUUUUUCCUCAUUUGCUUUAAGGUUAUGAAAGCAAACUUUUGUACAGAGGUUAGAUGUUCAACUCCAAAGUUUUAGGGCUGCAUUUUUUUAUCGAAGUCAAAUCCCAACAUCGUCUGCCCCUCCUUUCUCUUUACCAGAUUUGAGAAAUUAAUACUUUAAUAGAUGCGAUGUCUUCUUGUAAAUGACCACGAUUUUGUAAUGGUACCUUUGCAAAUGUUAGUGUGUUAUCAGUGUGAAAUUGUCAAUUUCAUUGAAGUUGGAUGUCCAUAGCGAUUUGCCAAACAAAAAAUAAUAUUUGGUUUUGAAUUGUUCUUGCCUAUCUCUUUCCUCAUGUCUAAUAGCUUUAGCUAUGCAUCUAGAUAUAUAUUAUAUCGAUAUAUAAUAAAAUUUAUGUAUAUCUAUAAAAGCAUAACAAUUUUGAAUUUGGAACAGAAUGAGUAAUAGGUAGAUAGAGAAAAGAAGAGAUAGAGACUAGCAUGUCUUGACGGCUUUGUGAGGAAUCGACUGAUUUUAGAACUCUGGUAUGGCACUGAUAGACAAAUCCGGCGUAUUUUCAGUUGAUUUAUGUUGUAGUAAAAUGUUAAUGCUGACAAGUACAUUUAAGAGGGAAACUAAGCCGCUAAAUUUCCAGCUUUGCUAAGCUUAAAGGCAUUUUUUUUAUAAGUUUCCUAAAACAAGGCAUUAUAUGUACCUUAUGCCUUCGACCGAGUCAUUAUUUUAAUUUCAAUUUUGAAAAUAUUUUCCCCAAUACAAAGUUGGAACCACAACAAGGUCUUGUUUAGUUUGUGAAAAAAAGGUUUUGAGUACUAUAGUAUAUUUGUAACUAUAGCAAUUAGUAUUCAAUUAUUGAUUAAUUAGAUUUAAAAGAUUUAUCUUACAAAAUACAUAUAAAUUAUACAAUAAAUUAUUUUUUAUCUAUAUUUAAUGCUUGCUGUCCCAAGGCCUUAGUUUUCAGUACCAUAAUUUUAUUCUUUAUCUGAGCUGUACCUGAGCCCAGGGACAGGGACUAAAACAACAAACGGAUCCGCUUUAUCUGAGCCAAGUGACCGAAGUUCAGUUCUAUAUCAAAGCCCUUGGACCAAGGUUUAAUUUUUUGACAUCGACAGGGGCCGCACGAGCGCCAAACCGAUCGGAGCCCAAGGAACUCAAAAAUAAAAUAUAUCUAAGCCCAGAGACCAAAGUUUAAUUAUAUAUCUCAGGGCCCAGGGACCAAAAUUUAAUUCUUUAAAAUUGGCAGGGGCCGCGCGAACGCGUACCCCCUCUACCACAAAUUAUGACGUCCACUCUCCCUCUUGGGGAGAUGGUAAGCCAGCGCACCCGCCAAGUGCAAUGCGGGCCACUGACCUAGGCCACGGGCCUUCAUGACCACCUGUCGACCCCGUCCAGGUAAGUAUGGAGCAAGGGUGCAGGGGGCGCUUGUCUUAUAGCAGGAGCUCGCAGCGCAUCCAGCUUCCGCUGCCGAGGUGGUGCUAAACGAAGCGUUCUGCCGUGCUAUGCCGCUGAGUUUUUAACUUCUGCUGGGCUGCCGAGACAUAGAGACGUAUAUGGGCCUUUAGGAUUUGGCCCACUUGGAACAGUAAGAUUGCAGGCUGCAAUGAAUCUGCUAGGCUCUCGUGGUUGUUCCUGGGCUCGGUUAGGCAUGGGAGUAGUUGUUUCUAAAAAAAAGGGCAUGAGAAUAGUUUUCCAGGCUUAUUAUAAUUUAUAAGGUUUGUUUUUUUCUAAUCUGCAGCUACAUGCUCUCGUGGUAUAUGAGUUUUUUUUUGAAAAAAGGCAAGAAAAUUUACACAUGCUGCUACUCUACUUUGAGACUGGGCAAGAGAAUGCCUUAAACCACAACCUGAACCUGAAGCAAACAAGUCCAAGAUUAUUUCUUAAUAAUUGGUUUAUGAUUAUGCGUUGCAACAUUAGAAAAAAAGUUUAAAAAAAAUUGACCACAAUAAGGAGGGGCACAAAAACACAUGUUUUUGGGAUAAUUCCUGAUUUGUUAUGAACAUGUUGCUGUACAUGCAUGCUAUUGCUGCUACAUAUGUUGAAUGAGGUACGGAAACCAAGGCAUGAUACUCCUCCGUCCUGGCUAGAAUGAUAAACAUACUAUAAUCAUGAAAAGGUCAAAUAAUAUAUAUUUUAACCAUCAAUUUUCUCUUGGUGUUUUUAGAAGCUGAACAAAACCAACCACAGCCUAAUAGAACGACCGUUGAAGAUUGCUCUCAGUACAAACACGUAGCUUUCCAUCCAUUUUUAACCCACUGUUCUCUAUUCAAGAGCAGGCACAGCAAGCGGACACGUUCAUGAGUUCCCUUCCCCUAGUCUUGCAUUGGACUCUUUUCUCUCGGUGCGUACUUUGGUAGUAGUGUACAGUACAACCUUCGCAGUCGUCGUCGCCACUCCCAUGUACCCGCGCUAAUAAAACGCUCUUGAAUAGAGACAUUGUCGCAGCUCGGUUCAACCACCACCAUAGAACGGGAAGCAUCAUUAUACUAGUUAUAAACACCCCUCCUAAUCAUUUGCUACCCCGGGAGUGGGAGGGUGAAACCCCCCUGUCAGCUCCGACCAGCACCAGCCACCGGAUCCUCGAAUCCAGGCAAGUACGUACGAUGCCACCUGUGCAGCAGCGCGCCUCCGGUGGAGAGAGCUUCCAAAGUUCUAACGGAACGCAAGAACAGCAGCUACUGCCGACUGGCCGCGGCGGCGCGGCAGUUCAUCAGCAGCAUAUAGUCCAGCUCAACCGGCAGGCAACUCAGCUCCCCCACCGCCACCAGUAGAGUUCCUUCCUUCCCGAUCGAGCUGCCCCAUGUGGCCGUUAAUCAUGACGCCGACUGUUGUCUGGUUGCCACUACCUAACUGGAAACGGCUCCGGUCGCUUCUCUCUAUUAUCUCGUCGUCAAAUUCCAGUUGCUCUGGUCCGUCCUUGUUGUGGAAUUUGAUAUGCGAUUUCCGUGCUUGUGACAACGCCGAUUCACCUCAUAACAGAGGUGCCGUAGCUGCUACCCAAUGAUUAGGGACCUAAUUGCGCCUCGAUCGCCUUGCAAUGUUGCAGGUGAGGUAACCUCCCCCAGGUUGCACAUGCAUCAGAAUCAUGGGGGUGCUUACCAACCAGCCGGCCUGCCUGUGCUUGCAGUACAUGCGUGCUUUCAGGUGAAUGUUUGAGCUGGAUCGUUCGUUGUGCUCAAAUCUAUAAGUCAUUCAACAGAAUUUUUCUCUCAUAAUAAAUUAGCAAAACAGUACUUUCAAUCACGGAUUAUCAGCCAAGCGAACAGGCCUAAUUCCAACUAAAACCCAAAAAAACUUUAAGAUUUUCCGUCACAUCGAAGCUUGCGGCACAUGCAUAGAACAUGAAAUAUAUAUAAAAAACAACUAAUUGCAUAAUUUUUCUUUAAUUUGCGAGACAAAUCUUUUGAGUCUGCUUAAUCCAUGGUUGGACAAUAGUUGUCAAAUAUAAACGAAAGUGCGACAAAAAAAAAAUCUUCACCUAUGGAAUUAAACAAGGCCUCAUUUCACUUUCGGACAGUGCAUGUUCAGGUCAUCAGGUAUGUAUGGGAGACGGCUUGUUUAGUUUCUAAACCAUUUUGCAAAAUGGUCAAAAUUACCUGUCAUAUCGAAUAUUGCGGUACAUGCUUAGAACAUUAAAUAUAAAUAAAAAAUAACUAAUUAUACAGUUUGCGUAUAAUUUACGAGACGAAUCUUUUGGGCCUAAUUAGUCAAUGAUUGGACAAUAAUUGUCAAAUACAAACAAAAGUAAUACAAUAGCUAUUUUGCAAAAUUUUUCGCAACUAAGGGGUGUUUAGUUCCCCUCUUAUUCUAAAAAAUUUUAGGUUUUAAUUCAUCAUUUUUUAAAAUGGAAUUAAACACCAUGCAAAAUUUUUUGACAAAAAGGUGGUUAUUCUUCAUUUUACAUUUUAGCCUUAAGAGGCCAAGAAAACUCAAAAGAGUCUCAUGUGGCUCUCGUGAGAGAGCAAUAAAUUCUGUAUUUUAGAUAGAACUAAACAUGAUCUUGAAAAUUUUGACAUUUUGCAUUCUAUCAUUCUAAAGUAGUUGGCAUUUUGUAUUUUUUUAACUAAUAAACACCCCCUAAACAGGACCUUAAACUGGCUCUCGACGGCAUCAGCGUUGCGUGUAACGCAGGGCCUGGGGGCCGAUCAGUACUGCAUCGCUGCAUGCAUGGUGGAGAAGCUGUACUUCGCGGUUCUGCUCGCGGAAGAGGGGAACCGAGAGAUCGCUGCACACAAACGAACAAGUUGUAGUACUGAUGUUUAUGUUUUUAUGACCGGAGCGUCGUACAGUAGUGCGGUUCACCUGGGAUCCUUUCCAAGCACACUUUUCGGUUGUUUGCUCCAUGCAAACACAGUACAGGACUACAGGGCGAUGUACAAGUAUUGUUGAGUACUGACCAGUGAUAGUGAAUUUCCACCGGUGCUAGUAUAAUACUAGCCACCAGCCAAGGAGUUAGUGUGGUACCUAUGCUAAUUAAACUCCAGACGACAUGUGUUUGUUUCGCAAACUGAUCAAACGUGGCCUUCUUGCGCAGUCUGUCUGCGUUUCUCUGCCUGUGAUCCGGCCGUUGUACCUGCUACAGCAAAGAUUCGCGCGAAGCCGCGGAGCAAGCAAGAACAACUCAACUCACGGAGGCUGAAUUCAUUAUCCGCUAAUAGUUAGCUGGCUAAGGGCACGUUUGGAAGCCUUGUAAAUUUUUUUCGCCUGGAAAUGACUUCCGAUUGUAUUUUCAUGUGCACAAGAAACCUCUUGCAAAUCUUUUCGGUUGGAAAUUUGUGUUUGGUUUACAUGAAUUAGUUCUCAACCCUGAAAAUAGGAAUGCAGAAGCACUUACUACUUUGUACUAGAACGUAAAAGGGGUUGUGAAAUCAAAACCAAACUUCAAAGCAGAAGCAAAAUGCAUCCAAACGGAUCCUAACCUAAGAGCAUUUCUAAGAACAACCUUUCUAAAAUCUUGUAUCUAAAUUAUCGUUUCGAGAGCCAUUUAAAUAGAAAUUAUUUUCUAUAUUUUUAUUUUACAAUAGCUUUUCUAUAUAUUAUGUGUAGUCUAGAGAGUUAUUCUCGUUCUCUAUUUUUGGCUAGCGAGAAAUCCAGAAUAGAGGAUAUGUAUAUUUGAAUAUCUAAUUGAAGAGGUUACUGAAAGAUAUUUUUUCACCAAAAUUCUUAUAAAUUAGGAAAGAUAUAAAGAGUCCCUUAAAGAUGUUCAGAUCGUAUCUAAUAUUAGCUAGCUAACUAGGGUGUUUGGAUGCAUAGGUAAUUAAAAAUAAAAAUGAUACUCAGAUAACUAUUAGUUGCUAUUUCUCAUUUGGUCCAACUAGUAUGAUAGUUACUAUCUAAAAGUCUAACUAACAAUUAGCUAAUUUGUUAACUAUACUUAUUCAAAUCUAUACAUAUUUAGAUCCAAAUGAGAUAACUAUUAGUAGAUAGUUAUUAUGUAGUAUUGGCAAAAGGGGCCUAAUAAGCCAUGCAAGCUCGAGCCAGCCUAAGCCAUGCGGGCGUAGGCUCCGGCCCGGCUCUAUAAAUCGCGGCCCCGUGUCGUGGCCGCCAAUUCAGCAGCAGCGCACUCUCCCGUCCAGCAUCCCGACCUCAUCAGCGGCGAGCUUCACCUCUGGUUCGUUCUGUUCUCUGAACUCCGAAGAGAUAUGGCGUCCAGGGCGGCUCUCCUGGCGCUUCUGCUCUCGGCGUUCGCGGCGGCGUCGGCGGUGGCGCAGCUGGACGAGAAGUUCUACAGCCAGUCGUGCCCCAGCGUGGAGGAUGUCGUCCGGAAGGAGAUGGUGCGCGCGCUCUCCGUCGCGCCCAGCCUCGCCGGCCCCCUCCUCAGGAUGCACUUCCACGACUGCUUCGUCAGGGUACGUGCAUUAUUGCAUUUUGUGGUUUCGUCAGGGAUCGACUUGAGCUGGCUCGAUCGGCUUUGCUAACCCCGUUGCUGCAUCCUGCAUUGCUCGCCGCCGAUCGGUGCAGGGGUGCGACGGCUCCGUCCUCCUUGACUCCACGGCGAACAACACCGCGGAGAAGGACGCGAAGCCGAACCUGACGCUGCGCGGCUUCAGCUUCAUCGAGACGGUCAAGGCCGCCGUGGAGAAGGCGUGCCCUGACACCGUCUCCUGCGCCGACUUGCUGGCCCUCAUGGCCAGGGACGCCGUGUGGCUGGUGAGCAACCGAUCGAUCGAGCACUGCAUGCACGCACGCACGCACACCAUUGUUCCACAAUUCAUUACAGCGCAACUGUUCUUACUGGCUGGUUGUUUUGCACGCACGCACGCACGCAGAGCAAGGGCCCGUUCUGGGCGGUCCCUCUGGGGCGGCGAGACGGCAGGGUGUCCAUCGCCAACGAGACCAAGCAGCUGCCGCCGCCGACGGGCAACUUCACGAAGCUGACCCAGCUGUUCGGCGCCAAGAACCUGGACACCAAGGACCUGGUGGUGCUGUCCGCCGGCCACACCAUCGGCACGUCGCACUGCUUCUCCUUCUCGGACCGGCUCUACAACUUCACGGGGCUGGACAACGCCCGCGACAUCGACCCGACGCUGGACCUGGCGUACAUGGCGCGGCUCCGCGGCAAGUGCACGAGCCUGGACGACAACACCACGCUGGUGGAGAUGGACCCAGGGAGCUUCAAGACCUUCGACCUGAGCUACUUCGCCAACGUGGCCAAGCGCAGGGGCCUCUUCCACUCCGACGGCGCGCUGCUCACCGACCCCACCACCCGCGCCUACGUGCUCCGCCACGCCACGGGGAACUACAAGGAGGAGUUCUUCGCCGACUUCGCCGCGUCCAUGCUCAAGAUGGGCGCCGUCGACGUGCUCACCGGCAGCCAGGGAGAGAUCAGGAAGAAGUGCAGCGUCGUCAACUAAACCUGGCGACCGGCCGGCCGGCCGGCCGGAGCACAGACGACUGUGUGUAGUUCAGGCACUUUUGGUCUGAGAGAUGUAUGAAUGUUACCCUCAGUUUCUCUAAUCUUUCUCACUUUUUUCUUUACUGCAAUUGAUUGAUUAUUUUGUUACAGCUAUGUAUGUAUUUAUGUAUGUAAAUCUGCCCCUCAUCUUCAGGUUCCAUCAGGAUCUCAUGAUACUUCAUACAAUAAACCUUUUUUGAUUUGUCCAUUACUGGCUCUGGCUAUGUCAGCCGAGAUGCCAUUGCCGUGCACAUACUAAAAUGAGAGUCUGUCUGUCCAUCCAUCAUCAGCGAUCUAGUUGUGACGCACAUGCAGGGCAUACAAAGCGACACGCAUGCUCGACCAGAGUACAUGUUGACGGCGGCCGUGGCCGGAGGAACUAACACUGGUCAAUAAUGUACUCGAUCAUCGCCCAUUCAUGUGUGGUUUCAGCGCAUCUGAUCUGCGUUAUACUAGUGGCAGCGUUGCCCCACGCCCAUGCUUGCUGGCGCCAUUUGUUUACUUGUACGGGCAGCUCUCUUCCUGAAUGUCUGUAACGGGAGGGGACAGUUUCUUGAGCAGCAACUCACAUGGCAUGCAGCAUGAACGGAUGCGCCGCAGGGCGUAGACUGUUGCCGAUGGCAUCGGAGCGCCGGAGCGGCCGGGGGCGUCGCAAACUAUCUUGUUGUGGGGUUUUCAGAUAGUUUGUGAGAUCUAAAACAGAUUUGAUGCUGCCGCGAGGGGUCGGGGAAAAGGCUGGUUGGGCUCUUAGAUUUCAGACCCGUGCGGCUCUCUCCCGGGAAAAACUUGGACCAGGCCAUGGUCCAUUCUGUUGAUUCGAGACUGUUGGAGCAUCUUCAGCAGGUCUCAAACAAACUCCUAAACUAAAAUUUGAGAGCACUUAAGCCCUCAUAUUUGGCUGGCCCUCAAAUCACUCCCUGGACCCUCAUUUCAGGGACUCUUCACUAAGGAUGCAAGUUGGGGCGGGUUGCUGCGCCAACCCGUUGGGCUGCCCAUGCCGCUAACCGACCGGGCUGCUCAGGCUAGUCCACUUGGAUAGAGUGAGCUCAAUUGCCCAACCCAUAAAUCCUAGCGGCAACCCGCAUCAGGUGGGGAAGUGAGCGUCGUCACGGUGAAUGCCUGAACACGAGCAACAGCCUCUUGGCUCCUCCGGCGUUGGCGCCACCACCUUCGCUACUAGUGCUUCUACUGCUGCCUCCGCCGAUGUGUGGGCUUCACUGGCGUCAAAGUUGACAUCAUGCAAAUGCUGGAGUACGUCUGCGAGGAGCAUGACGGGUGCGUCGAGGUCGUCAUGUUAUACCUGAUGGAACUGUGCCGGGUGCUGCAUGUGUGUCUGCAUGUGUGAAGUAAUAUGUGGGUUGGUCGUUGGCGGCGCUUGUGUCUGCAUGUGUGUGUACGGAUGUGCUAAUAUGUGGGUUGGCAGAACCCACAUCUUGCCGCAUAUAUCAUGCGGUCAUUCUGGGCUCGCCGCAUCGAGCUCGUGAAGCCUUUGUGGCUUGGCGGACAUGGGGUGGGUUAGCCGUUGUUGCCCCACUUGCAUCCUGACUCUUCACCCAACCCUAUUCUAUUGUUGGAGAUAUUUCCUGCCCGUGCGACUUCUCCCUGGCAUCUGCUCCUCACUGACAAGGCCACCCCUACUGUUGCUUCCCUCCUCCAGCGAAGCAGCUUCCUCCAGCGAGCCGUCCCCGAUGCUGAUGGACCUCCACACACUUGUCACCUACACUGCUGCUUGUUGGCAGACCUCCGUGCUCGCCGCCCGCGGGCACCCGUGUAGCUGGUUGCUCGUGCAGAGGAACUCGAUGAAGAGGACGGCGUAGCUACGGGAAUGAACUAGGAAGGUGGAGGGACCUUGAGAUCCACCAUGAGAGGGGCACAGUGUGGAAGGUGAAGGUGGAUCUAUGAGCAUCCGUCACCGGCUCCAGAUCCACGACUUCCCCUAGACGCACACACACGGAUGGAGAAGAGAGAGGAUGAUGAGUGGGUCCCAUAUGUCGGUUGUAUUAAAAGUGACGAGGGCUUCUGCUGCAGCAACAAAUAUAAAAAAGACCUUAAAAAUGAGGAAAGCCCCCCCAAUUCAAAAGUAGGGGCCCUAAUCUGAGGGCCAUUGCUGAAAAUGCACUAGAGUCUGUUUGGCAGACCUCUUCUCCGACCCUGGCUUUGGCUUUGCCAAAUGUUGUUAUGAAGAAAUCUUUUUAAGUAAAAAGCAGAGAAGCUAGAGCCGUUUUGGCGAAGCCACAAAUUGUGGCUUCUCCAAAAUGGCUCUGGCUCCUCUAAAGGAGUCCCUCGUGAGGAGUCGUGUCAAACACCCCCUAGCACCGGAUGAUCCUGAAACAUCAAGGCUAUGCACCUAAAAAAGAGAAAAAUAAAUAUCAAGGCGCUAGACUUUUCUAGGAUUUCAAUAUAAUUUAGGUCUCUAUUUAAAGAGUCCCUCACAAAGAGAUUUACUGAUAUCAAUAACUACGCACAGGUAUGAAGGAGGAAUAUAAAUAUGUCCUUACUGUAGUCUAUCGAUUCAUCUAUAUAUAUAUAUAACUUAAUUGUUAGUAGUCAAUUUUCAAAGAAGAAGAGAGAAAGUCACACAAGAGAAUAAUGCUAGCAGUAUGUGUGCAUGGUCAUGUAUAGGUAAUUGUAUCCACUAUUGAAACUAUUUAUGAGUGGACACUUACAUGUGGCAACGGGAGAAGUGGAUGAUGAUAUGGCUCAAGGAAGUGCCAGAGAACCAUUUAUGAGUGGACACUUACAUGUGGCAACAUAAGAAGUGAAUGAUGAUGUGGCUCAAGUAAGUGCCAGAGAAUUAGACUAGUGGGGUUUAUCUUUAUAGGAAAUAUAGAUAUCGUACUUAGGAUGAAACUAGCAUAAAUUUAAGUGAAACUUAUAACUACCCAAAAUAAGACGUAUUUUCUUUAGAAACAAAUAAUUUGAGCAGGGGCACGCACCCCCUCCCCCUCCCCCGCUCAUUGUGUACUAGGUCCGUCCCUAUUUGUUUUUGCAUUGUGUUUGUUAAAACAACCAUGGCCCGACUCAUCCUUAGGAAUAACAUGAGGCUUCUUCCUUUAAUUUUGGGCAAAGACACAUAAAACUAUCUUUUCUUAUUCUAGAGGAUGUAGUUGCUAGUACAAUAAAGAGAAAACCCUAUCAAUAUAUCCAUGCGGUGAUUCGAUGCUCUAGAAGUAAUAUAUAUUCUCAAGACAGAAAAUGACGAAUGAAUCAAAGAAUAAAAAAAAAGACAAUAUAUACCUGGAAAACGGGGAAAAAAUUCAAAGAAAAGGCAAUCUAUAUCUGAAGAUUUCCGUCUACACGAACUAGGUGGCACACGCUCAUCAUAGACGAUGUCGACUAGAGCCAUGGUGGCAUCAGCCUGCUCUACCACGAAUCUGGUUUCCUCACUGCCCACUAAGGCCAUGCUCAUGCGUCCACGUCGGGGGCGGGAUCAUGAUGUGCGGCUGCAGCCAUGGACGGGGCCUAAAGUAGCGGUAGCAACAUGGCCGCAGCAGCGGGAUCAGGAUCUACGACUGAGGGCAUGGGCGGGGCCUGCAGUACUAGCGACAACAUGGCCGGCUCCGAGGCGGCGGCCAUGGCCACGACCAGCGUGGGAUCGAAGGGGGCGUCGUG